This 622-nucleotide ribosomal RNA is filed under the name uncultured bacterium. Its description in RNAcentral is "bacterial SSU rRNA". It matches the Rfam family "Bacterial small subunit ribosomal RNA", at positions 62 to 675 of the family's 1533-position model. The record is from RNAcentral.
UCGAGCGGUAACAGAUCUAGCUUGCUAGAUGCUGACGAGCGGCGGACGGGUGAGUAACGCGUAGGAAACUGCCGAGUAGUGGGGGAUAGCCCAGAGAAAUUUGGAUUAAUACCGCAUACGCCCUACGGGGGAAAGGAGGGGAUCUUCGGACCUUUCGCUAUUCGAUGUGCCUGCGUGAGAUUAGCUUGUUGGUGAGGUAAAGGCUCACCAAGGCGACGAUCUCUAGCUGGUUUGAGAGGAUGAUCAGCCACACUGGGACUGAGACACGGCCCAGACUCCUACGGGAGGCAGCAGUGGGGAAUAUUGCACAAUGGGGGAAACCCUGAUGCAGCCAUGCCGCGUGUGUGAAGAAGGCCUUCGGGUUGUAAAGCACUUUCAGCAGUGAGGAAAGGUUGUAAGUUAAUACCUUGCAGCUAUGACGUUAACUGCAGAAGAAGGACCGGCUAACUCCGUGCCAGCAGCCGCGGUAAUACGGAGGGUCCGAGCGUUAAUCGGAAUUACUGGGCGUAAAGCGCGCGUAGGCGGCUAGGUCAGUCAGAUGUGAAAGCCCCGGGCUUAACCUGGGAAUUGCAUCUGAUACUGCUUGGCUAGAGUACAGAAGAGGGUGGUGGAAUUUCCUGUG